GCACCGCUGGUGUAAUGGUAUCAUGCAAGAUUCCCACUCUUGUGACCUGGUUUCGAUACCUGGGCCGUGCA
This 71-nucleotide transfer RNA is filed under the name Pleuronectes platessa (European plaice). It matches the Rfam family "tRNA". Rfam says of the family: Transfer RNA (tRNA) molecules are approximately 80 nucleotides in length. Their secondary structure includes four short double-helical elements and three loops (D, anti-codon, and T loops). Further hydrogen bonds mediate the characteristic L-shaped molecular structure. tRNAs have two regions of fundamental functional importance: the anti-codon, which is responsible for specific mRNA codon recognition, and the 3' end, to which the tRNAs corresponding amino acid is attached (by aminoacyl-tRNA synthetases). tRNAs cope with the degeneracy of the genetic code in two manners: having more than one tRNA (with a specific anti-codon) for a particular amino acid; and 'wobble' base-pairing, i.e. permitting non-standard base-pairing at the 3rd anti-codon position. Lineage: Eukaryota; Metazoa; Chordata; Actinopteri; Pleuronectiformes; Pleuronectidae. The record is from Rfam by way of RNAcentral.